AGCGUACACGGUGGAUGCCCUGGCAGUCAGAGGCGAUGAAGGACGUGCUAAUCUGCGAUAAGCGUCGGUAAGGUGAUAUGAACCGUUAUAACCGGCGAUUUCCGAAUGGGGAAACCCAGUGUGUUUCGACACACUAUCAUUAACUGAAUCCAUAGGUUAAUGAGGCGAACCGGGGGAACUGAAACAUCUAAGUACCCCGAGGAAAAGAAAUCAACCGAGAUUCCCCCAGUAGCGGCGAGCGAACGGGGAGCAGCCCAGAGCCUGAAUCAGUGUGUGUGUUAGUGGAAGCGUCUGGAAAGGCGCGCGAUACAGGGUGACAGCCCCGUACACAAAAAUGCACAUGCUGUGAGCUCGAUGAGUAGGGCGGGACACGUGGUAUCCUGUCUGAAUAUGGGGGGACCAUCCUCCAAGGCUAAAUACUCCUGACUGACCGAUAGUGAACCAGUACCGUGAGGGAAAGGCGAAAAGAACCCCGGCGAGGGGAGUGAAAAAGAACCUGAAACCGUGUACGUACAAGCAGUGGGAGCCUCUUUAUGGGGUGACUGCGUACCUUUUGUAUAAUGGGUCAGCGACUUAUAUUCUGUAGCAAGGUUAACCGAAUAGGGGAGCCGAAGGGAAACCGAGUCUUAACUGGGCGUUAAGUUGCAGGGUAUAGACCCGAAACCCGGUGAUCUAGCCAUGGGCAGGUUGAAGGUUGGGUAACACUAACUGGAGGACCGAACCGACUAAUGUUGAAAAAUUAGCGGAUGACUUGUGGCUGGGGGUGAAAGGCCAAUCAAACCGGGAGAUAGCUGGUUCUCCCCGAAAGCUAUUUAGGUAGCGCCUCGUGAAUUCAUCUCCGGGGGUAGAGCACUGUUUCGGCAAGGGGGUCAUCCCGACUUACCAACCCGAUGCAAACUGCGAAUACCGGAGAAUGUUAUCACGGGAGACACACGGCGGGUGCUAACGUCCGUCGUGAAGAGGGAAACAACCCAGACCGCCAGCUAAGGUCCCAAAGUCAUGGUUAAGUGGGAAACGAUGUGGGAAGGCCCAGACAGCCAGGAUGUUGGCUUAGAAGCAGCCAUCAUUUAAAGAAAGCGUAAUAGCUCACUGGUCGAGUCGGCCUGCGCGGAAGAUGUAACGGGGCUAAACCAUGCACCGAAGCUGCGGCAGCGACGCUUAUGCGUUGUUGGGUAGGGGAGCGUUCUGUAAGCCUGUGAAGGUGUGCUGUGAGGCAUGCUGGAGGUAUCAGAAGUGCGAAUGCUGACAUAAGUAACGAUAAAGCGGGUGAAAAGCCCGCUCGCCGGAAGACCAAGGGUUCCUGUCCAACGUUAAUCGGGGCAGGGUGAGUCGACCCCUAAGGCGAGGCCGAAAGGCGUAGUCGAUGGGAAACAGGUUAAUAUUCCUGUACUUGGUGUUACUGCGAAGGGGGGACGGAGAAGGCUAUGUUGGCCGGGCGACGGUUGUCCCGGUUUAAGCGUGUAGGCUGGUUUUCCAGGCAAAUCCGGAAAAUCAAGGCUGAGGCGUGAUGACGAGGCACUACGGUGCUGAAGCAACAAAUGCCCUGCUUCCAGGAAAAGCCUCUAAGCAUCAGGUAACAUCAAAUCGUACCCCAAACCGACACAGGUGGUCAGGUAGAGAAUACCAAGGCGCUUGAGAGAACUCGGGUGAAGGAACUAGGCAAAAUGGUGCCGUAACUUCGGGAGAAGGCACGCUGAUAUGUAGGUGAAGUCCCUCGCGGAUGGAGCUGAAAUCAGUCGAAGAUACCAGCUGGCUGCAACUGUUUAUUAAAAACACAGCACUGUGCAAACACGAAAGUGGACGUAUACGGUGUGACGCCUGCCCGGUGCCGGAAGGUUAAUUGAUGGGGUCAGCGCAAGCGAAGCUCUUGAUCGAAGCCCCGGUAAACGGCGGCCGUAACUAUAACGGUCCUAAGGUAGCGAAAUUCCUUGUCGGGUAAGUUCCGACCUGCACGAAUGGCGUAAUGAUGGCCAGGCUGUCUCCACCCGAGACUCAGUGAAAUUGAACUCGCUGUGAAGAUGCAGUGUACCCGCGGCAAGACGGAAAGACCCCGUGAACCUUUACUAUAGCUUGACACUGAACAUUGAGCCUUGAUGUGUAGGAUAGGUGGGAGGCUUAGAAGUGUGGACGCCAGUCUGCAUGGAGCCGACCUUGAAAUACCACCCUUUAAUGUUUGAUGUUCUAACGUUGACCCGUGAUCCGGGUUGCGGACAGUGUCUGGUGGGUAGUUUGACUGGGGCGGUCUCCUCCUAAAGAGUAACGGAGGAGCACGAAGGUUGGCUAAUCCUGGUCGGACAUCAGGAGGUUAGUGCAAUGGCAUAAGCCAGCUUGACUGCGAGCGUGACGGCGCGAGCAGGUGCGAAAGCAGGUCAUAGUGAUCCGGUGGUUCUGAAUGGAAGGGCCAUCGCUCAACGGAUAAAAGGUACUCCGGGGAUAACAGGCUGAUACCGCCCAAGAGUUCAUAUCGACGGCGGUGUUUGGCACCUCGAUGUCGGCUCAUCACAUCCUGGGGCUGAAGUAGGUCCCAAGGGUAUGGCUGUUCGCCAUUUAAAGUGGUACGCGAGCUGGGUUUAGAACGUCGUGAGACAGUUCGGUCCCUAUCUGCCGUGGGCGCUGGAGAACUGAGGGGGGCUGCUCCUAGUACGAGAGGACCGGAGUGGACGCAUCACUGGUGUUCGGGUUGUCAUGCCAAUGGCACUGCCCGGUAGCUAAAUGCGGAAGAGAUAAGUGCUGAAAGCAUCUAAGCACGAAACUUGCCCCGAGAUGAGUUCUCCCUGACUCCUUGA
RNAcentral lists this ribosomal RNA (2786 nucleotides) under Escherichia coli. RNAcentral describes it as "bacterial LSU rRNA". It matches the Rfam family "Bacterial large subunit ribosomal RNA". The record is from RNAcentral. Lineage: Bacteria; Pseudomonadati; Pseudomonadota; Gammaproteobacteria; Enterobacterales; Enterobacteriaceae.